UGUUUAACUGCGAGUCCUGUUUAUGUUUUUGAAAUUUAAACAUUCUUGGCAGUUGAGCAUU
RNAcentral lists this microRNA precursor (61 nucleotides) under Parasteatoda tepidariorum (common house spider). RNAcentral describes it as "microRNA pte-mir-11941 precursor". The record is from miRBase by way of RNAcentral. Lineage: Eukaryota; Metazoa; Arthropoda; Arachnida; Araneae; Theridiidae.